AGAGUUUGAUUCUGGCUCAGAUUGAACGCUGGCGGCAUGCCUAACACAUGCAAGUCGAACGGCAGCAUGAUUCUAGUUUACUAGAAUUGAUGGCGAGUGGCGGACGGGUGAGUAAAGCAUAGGAAUCUAGCGAUGAGAGGGGGAUAGCUGCGGGAAACUGCAGGUAAUACCACAUAAUAUCUAAGGAUCAAAAGUGGGGGACCUUCGGGCCUCACGCUUAUCGAUGAGCCUAUGUCGGAUUAGCUAGUUGGUGGGGUAAAGGCCUACCAAGGCGAAGAUCCGUAGCUGGUCUGAGAGGAUGGCCAGCCACACUGGGACUGAGACACGGCCCAGACUCCUACGGGAGGCAGCAGUGGGGAAUAUUGGACAAUGGGGGAAACCCUGAUCCAGCAAUGCCGCGUGAGUGAAGAAGGCCUUCGGGUUGUAAAGCUCUUUUGUGGGGGAGGAAAGGUUUUGUGCGAAUAACACGAGACGGUGACGUUACCCCAAGAAUAAGCACCGGCUAACUCUGUGCCAGCAGCCGCGGUAAUACAGAGGGUGCGAGCGUUAAUCGGAAUGACUGGGCGUAAAGGGUGCGUAGGUGGUUAAUUAAGUUAACUGUGAAAGCCCCGGGCUUAACCUGGGAAUGGCAGCUAAAACUGAAUAGCUAGAGUAGGCGAGAGGAGUGUGGAAUUUCCGGUGUAGCGGUGAAAUGCGUAGAGAUCGGAAGGAACACCAGUGGCGAAGGCGGCACUCUGGAACCAUACUGACACUGAGGCACGAAGGCGUGGGGAGCAAACAGGAUUAGAUACCCUGGUAGUCCACGCAGUAAACGAUGAGAACUGGAUGAGGGAUGGGUAAAACCGUCCCGUAUCGAAGCUAACGCGAUAAGUUCUCCGCCUGGGGAGUACGGCCGCAAGGUUAAAACUCAAAGAAAUUGACGGGGGCCCGCACAAGCGGUGGAGUAUGUGGUUUAAUUCGAUGCAACGCGAAGAACCUUACCUGGUCUUGACAUGUCAGAAAGCUCGCAGAGAUGUGAGUGUGCCUUCGGGAAUCUGAACACAGGUGCUGCAUGGCUGUCGUCAGCUCGUGUCGUGAGAUGUUGGGUUAAGUCCCGCAACGAGCGCAACCCUCAUUUUUAAUUGCCAUCAUUAAGUUGGGCACUUUAAAGAGACUGCCGGUGAUAAGCCGGAGGAAGGUGGGGAUGACGUCAAGUCCUCAUGGCCCUUAUGACCAGGGCUACACACGUACUACAAUGGAUGUGACAGAGGGAAGCGAAGCCGCGAGGUGAAGCUAAUCUA
Molecule: ribosomal RNA, 1280 nt
Filed under: metagenome
Description: bacterial SSU rRNA
Rfam family: Bacterial small subunit ribosomal RNA
Source: RNAcentral